RNAcentral lists this ribosomal RNA (468 nucleotides) under uncultured bacterium. RNAcentral describes it as "partial 16S ribosomal RNA". It matches the Rfam family "Bacterial small subunit ribosomal RNA", at positions 28 to 507 of the family's 1533-position model. The record is from RNAcentral.
GACGAACGCUGGCGGCGUGCUUAACACAUGCAAGUCGAACGGACCGGCCCUGGUUUUGUGGGGGGCUCAGGUACCGAACGGGUGAGUAACACGUGAGUAACCUACCCUUGACUUUGGGGUAACUUCAGGAAACUAGGGCUAAUACCGGAUAGGUUAUCCUGCUGCAAUGGGGGGGUUGGAGAGUUUCGGUGGUUGGGGAUGGGCUCGCGGCGUAUCAGCUUGUUGGUGGGGUAGUGGCUUACCAAGGCGUCGACGUGUAGCCGGGCUGAGAGGGUGACCGGCCCAAUUGGGCUUGGGAUGAGGCCCAGACUACUCCCGGACGCAGCAGUGGGGAAGAGUGCACAAUGGGCGGAAGGCUGAUGCAGCAACGCCGCGUGGGGGAUGAGGGGCUGCGGGUUGUAAACCGCAUUCGCCUGGGACGAAGCGUGAGUGACGGUACCGGGUAAAGAAGCACCGGCUAACUACGUG